Molecule: ribosomal RNA, 265 nt
Filed under: uncultured Glomus
Lineage: Eukaryota; Fungi; Glomeromycota; Glomeromycetes; Glomerales; Glomeraceae
Description: partial 18S ribosomal RNA
Rfam family: Eukaryotic small subunit ribosomal RNA
Source: RNAcentral
UUAAAAAGCUCGUAGUUGAAUUUCGGGGUUAGUAGGUUGGUCAUGCCUCUGGUAUGUACUGGUCUCACUGAUUCCUCCUUCCUGAUGAACCGUAAUGCCAUUAAUUUGGUGUUGCGGGGAAUUUGGACUGUUACUUUGAAAAAAUUAGAGUGUUUAAAGCAAGCUAACGCUUGAAUACAUUAGCAUGGAAUAAUGAAAUAGGACGUUCGACCCUAUUUUGUUGGUUUCUAGGAUUGACGUAAUGAUUAGUAGGGAUAGUUGGGGG